Molecule: ribosomal RNA, 273 nt
Filed under: unidentified marine bacterioplankton
Lineage: Bacteria
Description: partial 16S ribosomal RNA
Rfam family: Bacterial small subunit ribosomal RNA
Source: RNAcentral
AGGGGCAGCACGUCUUCGGAUGGUGGCGACCGGCGCACGGGUGCGUAACGCGUAUAGAAUCUACCUUUUACAGGGGGAUAGCCUUUAGAAAUGAAGAUUAAUAUCCCAUAGUAUUGCGAAAUGGCAUCAUUUUGUAAUUAAAGAUUUAUCGGUAAAAGAUGACUAUGCGUCCUAUUAGCUAGAUGGUAAGGUAAUGGCUUACCAUGGCAAUGAUAGGUAGGGGUCCUGAGAGGGAGAUCCCCCACACUGGUACUGAGACACGGACCAGACUCC